GAUGAACGCUGGCGGCAUGCUUAACACAUGCCAGUCGGACGGGAAGUGGUGUUUCCUGUGGCGUACGCGUGAGUAACGCGUGAGAACCUGCCCUUGGGAGGGGAACCACAGCUGGAAACGGCUGCUAAUACCCCGUAGGCUGAGGAGCAAAAGGGGGACUCCGCCCGAGGAGGGGCUCGCGUCUGAUUAGCUAGGUGGGGAGGCAAGAGCUUACCCAGGCGAUGGUCAGUAGCUGGUCCGAGAGGAUGGUCAGCAACACUGGGACGGAGAGGCGGCCCAGACUACGACGGGAAGCAGCAGUGGAGAAUGUACCGCGAUGGGAGAAAGGCUGACGGAGCGAUGCCGCGUGGAGGUAGAAGGCCUAGGGGUCGUGAACUUCUUUUCCCGGAGAAGAAGCAAUGACGGUAUCUGGGGAAUAAGCAUCGGCUAACUCCGUG
Molecule: ribosomal RNA, 437 nt
Filed under: uncultured bacterium
Lineage: Bacteria
Description: partial 16S ribosomal RNA
Rfam family: Bacterial small subunit ribosomal RNA
Source: RNAcentral